UCUUGUGUUGAGGAAAAUGCCUAUAUGCGAGUAUUGCAGUGCUAUAAGGUUACCAAAUGAGGGUCUCAAUUUUUAUUGCAGGCAAGGAAAAGUUAAUAUAGUGAGCACAUCAAUUCCUCCUGAUCUUCGUCACCUAUUUACAAGCCAGUCAGAUAGAGAUGCCUUGUAUUUCAAAAAGAAUAUACAAUACUUCAAUUCUCAUUUCUCGUUCACAACCUUUGGAGCUAAUGUGAACCAUAAAGUCGCUACUGCAGCUGGUACUGGUAUAUAUACUUUCAAAGUGCAUGGACAGAUUUAUCACAGAUUGGACCAACUCAGACCGGG
This is a long non-coding RNA of Panicum virgatum (switchgrass), 324 nucleotides long. RefSeq lists it as uncharacterized. NCBI's taxonomy places the organism in Eukaryota, Viridiplantae, Streptophyta, Magnoliopsida, Poales, Poaceae. The transcript is spliced from 2 exons. The record is from RefSeq and is a predicted model, not a curated record.